UCGGAGAGUUUGAUCCUGGCUCAGGACGAACGCUGGCGGCGUGCCUAAUACAUGCAAGUCGAGCGGACAGAAGGGAGCUUGCUCCCGGAUGUUAGCGGCGGACGGGUGAGUAACACGUGGGUAACCUGCCUGUAAGACUGGGAUAACUCCGGGAAACCGGAGCUAAUACCGGAUAGUUCCUUGAACCGCAUGGUUCAAGGAUGAAAGA
RNAcentral lists this ribosomal RNA (208 nucleotides) under Bacillus altitudinis. RNAcentral's name for it is "partial 16S ribosomal RNA". It matches the Rfam family "Bacterial small subunit ribosomal RNA", at positions 1 to 208 of the family's 1533-position model. Lineage: Bacteria; Bacillati; Bacillota; Bacilli; Caryophanales; Bacillaceae. The record is from RNAcentral.